GUUCAAUGUUCAUUGUUAAAAAAAGUUGAGGUUUACCGAAAAAUGUAUAGGCAAGUGGCUUUUAGUUCAGGGCAAGUAGAUUUUCAAACUACCUGCCCAGCAAGACAAGUUGAAUUUAAGGUUAACGUCGAACCCUGAUAGUUACGGCAAAUAUAGUUAUCUGAGUGCUGCAAAUCAAUUUACAAAAACUGAAUACAUUUUAUUGAUAUCUUUUGCUUGUGUUAUUUUACUUUUUCUUUAACUAGACCUCUCAAAUGAUGAUAAUUGAUACAAAAUACUUUCAACAAGGUAUACCUUCAUGUCUACAUUUCUUAAUGGUCUAAAUUCAUAUGUGUAUGCAUAUUUUACAUGCAUGUGUAUACUUACACUUUGAGUGGCUAAAUGUUCCGCCUUGUAGGUCAUAUGUCAAAAUUAUAGGUUUGAGCGGUGAGAUGAAUAUAGAGUUGUUUUCUUGUUAAUGGAAGAUAGUUAUUUUUUCAGUGAAUGAUCAAAUUUCCUUUUUUAUAGCUGCAACAUGUUCCAUGAUAUUAUUUACAUAUUUAGAUACAUUGCAUAUACAGCUCAAGUUAUCCAAUAUUGCCAGCAAUGUCUUAAUGUCAGCAUAUGUAUUCUUUACCAUCGGUGUCUUCCGUCAGACGAUAGACACAUUGCCCACCAGCAGGCGUGGCGGAACUGCCCAUUUACCCAGAGUCAAGAACAGGAGCUCCUGCAUGCCUUGCCUACCCUCCUGGCCAGGACAAUUGAGGCGGAGGUUAGACAGCUUGAUCCUGCUCCUGCUGCUGAAAGGGGAGGUCCAAUCCGUCUGAGCGUACAUGAUAGACGGAGAACAGAUGAUGUGAGUACACUGAUCACAGCCUCAGACAAGCUGACCUUAGUAACACUUCAACAAAUCGGUUCGUGUUACAUGAACUGACAGCCAACGGUCUAGCCGUUUGCAAAUCCCAAACUGAUGGAUGACUACAGCAUCGUAGAUCCACAAAACGGGGCUGAUAUUUCUUGUCAGAUUCUCAAUGUACCAGUCAGUAUUGAUGAGAGUCUUGUUGACAGUUAUUGUUUGGUCGAGUAUGAUGGUAAACCAUAUCCAGGAAAGAUUACCGCAGAAGACGAUAUCAGUGUGAAAGUUUAAGCAAUGCAUUGUGUCUGUCUCAAUCGAUAUUUCUUGCCUUUAAAAAAAGGACGAAUGCUGGUACGAAAGAGAUCGUAUCAUUACCAUGUUACCCUGUGAACCAGAGAAGCUGAGUGGCCGUCACCAGGCCCUACCUCUCCCAAUAUGGGAGGCAAUGAAAGAUAAAUAUGAUCUUUAAACAUGUACCACUAUACUUUGAUAUGAAAAUGUUUUAAGGGUUGUAUUUUUGUGUUGUAUGUAAAAGGAACAUUUUGUAUUACAUGUGUAUGUAAAAGGCACAUUAUGCACUAUGAUAUAACGACCAAUUAAUA
Long non-coding RNA from Dreissena polymorpha, 1437 nucleotides. RefSeq lists it as uncharacterized. Lineage: Eukaryota; Metazoa; Mollusca; Bivalvia; Myida; Dreissenidae. The transcript is spliced from 3 exons. The record is from RefSeq and is a predicted model, not a curated record.